Molecule: ribosomal RNA, 465 nt
Filed under: uncultured bacterium
Lineage: Bacteria
Description: partial 16S ribosomal RNA
Rfam family: Bacterial small subunit ribosomal RNA
Source: RNAcentral
GACGAACGCUGGCGGCGUGCUUAACACAUGCCAGUCGAACGGAAAGGCCCUGCUUGCAGGGUACUCGAGUGGCGAACGGGUGAGUAACACGUGGGUGAUCUGCCCUUCACUUCGGGAUAAGCCUGGGAAACUGGGUCUAAUACCGGAUAGGAGCCAUUUUUAGUGUGAUGGUUGGAAAGUUUUUUCGGUGUAGGAUGAGCUCGCGGCCUAUCAGCUUGUUGGUGGGGUAAUGGCCUACCAAGGCGGCGACGGGUAGCCGGCCUGAGAGGGUGGACGGCCACAUUGGGACUGAGAUACGGCCCAGACUCCUACGGGAGGCAGCAGUGGGGAAUAUUGCACAAUGGGCGCAAGCCUGAUGCAGCGACGCCGCGUGGGGGAUGACGGCCUUCGGGUUGUAAACUCCUUUCGCUAGGGACGAAGCUUUUUGUGACGGUACCUAGAUAAGAAGCACCGGCUAACUACGUG